AUAUAUGUCCAUUACAUACAUAUAUUGGAGAAGUUUCCCUAUAUUUAGUCCAUUCAUUGUUCGUCCUGGAGAGGUAAUCGGCGGGAGGGAGGUGUGAUGAAUUAUACUUUGAACCUCGAGACAUCUCCUUCGUCGCUUCGUUAAAAACCUACCUGGGAAAUCCCAAUUGGGACAAAGCCUUGGUGAGGAAAAGAGAGUACAAUUUUGGGUGGCGUCCUUUUUUGAGAAGUGGAAGCAUUUGAGCUGAGCGACAUUCCAAUAGUUUGGUAGUGCUUUUCCUUCCAUUGUCUCUAGUUGGAAUUCUCCCUUGCUCGCUCGCCCAAGCAAGUGCAUGCAUUCCUGUCUAAAUCAGCAACAUAGGAUAAACCCAAAUGAAAUUUCCCGUAUCUCGAUCUGACGGGUCAGCGACAAAAGCGGCAUUUGAGUGUUACUCGCACAACCUGGUUUUAAAUUUGACGGCCGUGUUCGGUUCCAUCUGUAAUAGCAUCUGAGCUUCAUGCGGGUUGAGCCACCUUCCUUGUUGAAGUGUUGAAAUCGAGUUCAGGUCUGAUCUUGUUUGAUUUGUAUCUACAACAAGGGACAUGGGAUAACAUGUGUGCUCAUCCCAUUAGGACCGCUUGGUAAGCUCCUGUUCUUUCAUAAAGAAUAGGAAUACGGGCUAAUACAAGUAGGCAAGAUGCGUCGAAUGGGGGUGUGGCAAUUCCAGAUGACUAUGAUCCUGCUUCGAACGUAUGUGUGUUGUGCCAACCCUAUCGCUAUUGGAUAGAGUGGGUUUUGCAGAGAUACUGGUUGUAACUUUGCUCUUAUGCAACAACUUGGCCUGGGUUAGAUUUGUCAUCUCGAAGGUUUAUUUAUCGCUCAUUCAAGUGGGUGGCGGCGUUUUGCCGGUUCUAGAUCUGAAGGAAACUAAAAAAUUUGGCUAAGAAGCUCCCCAGAGACGGUACCAAAUUAUUUGAACAAACAAGUAUAAAACCCAUCUUGUCGAACUAAUUUUUAAAAUUGAAGAAGGUAAAUCUUAGUGAAACAUAAUUAAUCCCAAAUCUAGAUAUGCAGCAUAGAGAAUAAAGGAAGAAGAAGAGUAAUCGCAGAUAAUGUUUACAUUAAUCAUAUAUGAUAAGCUUACAUUUGUGAUCGAUUUGUCUCAUGAACAUGAAGUAAACAGAAAAGAAGUGAAAGAACCGUUCUUCCUUAAACAUUCUCUUGAUUCUCC
Molecule: long non-coding RNA, 1210 nt
Filed under: Nicotiana benthamiana
Lineage: Eukaryota; Viridiplantae; Streptophyta; Magnoliopsida; Solanales; Solanaceae
Description: long non-coding RNA (NBEN_LNC023512)
Source: RNAcentral